This 277-nucleotide ribosomal RNA is filed under the name uncultured prokaryote. RNAcentral describes it as "partial 16S ribosomal RNA". It matches the Rfam family "Bacterial small subunit ribosomal RNA", at positions 524 to 800 of the family's 1533-position model. The record is from RNAcentral.
UACGUAGGUGGCAAGCGUUGUCCGGAUUUACUGGGUGUAAAGGGGGCGCAGGCGGGAAGCUAAGUUGGAUGUGAAAUACCGGGGCUCAACUCCGGAGCUGCAUCCAAAACUGGUUUUCUUGAGUGGAGUAGAGGCAAGCGGAAUUCCGAGUGUAGCGGUGAAAUGCGUAGAUAUUCGGAGGAACACCAGUGGCGAAGGCGGCUUGCUGGGCUCUAACUGACGCUGAGGCCCGAAAGCGUGGGGAGCAAACAGGGUUAGAUACCCUGGUAGUCCCUGA